GACGAACGCUGGCGGCGCGCCUAACACAUGCAAGUCGAACGGAAUGACACGCGGCAGAGUCCUUCGGGACAAAGCUUGUGUCAUUUAGUGGCGGACGGGUGAGUAACGCGUGAGGAACCUGCCUUUCAGAGGGGGAUAACGGUUGGAAACGACCGCUAAUACCGCAUAACGUGUUUGGAUGACAUCAUCCUGAUACCAAAGGAGCAAUCCGCUGAAAGAUGGACUCGCGUCCGAUUAGCCAGUUGGCGGGGUAAAGGCCCACCAAAGCAACGAUCGGUAGCCGGACUGAGAGGUUGAACGGCCACAUUGGGACUGAGACACGGCCCAGACUCCUACGGGAGGCAGCAGUGGGGAAUAUUGCACAAUGGAGGAAACUCUGAUGCAGCGACGCCGCGUGAGGGAAGAAGGUCUUCGGAUUGUAAACCUCUGUCCCUGGUGACGAUAAUGACGGUAGCCAGGGAGGAAGCCACGGCUAACUACGUG
This 483-nucleotide ribosomal RNA is filed under the name uncultured organism. RNAcentral's name for it is "bacterial SSU rRNA". It matches the Rfam family "Bacterial small subunit ribosomal RNA", at positions 28 to 507 of the family's 1533-position model. The record is from RNAcentral.